AGAGAAAAUAGAAAAUAGAAAACCUAGUCUCUGUCCGUGUGGACUCCAUGCAAGUCGUUACGAAGCGCCAUCAGCCCAGGUUUGACCAAACUUUUAUGAAAAAAGAAAUAUGGACUUUUUUCAAGUGCGGCUCUCCCACAUAGUGCUUACUUUGACACAGUGGUACGGAUAAAUGACAAGAUGAUUGCAACAAACAAAAACAAUAAUCUACAUGACUACUUGUUUGGACACUGCGCUGAAGAAGCUUAUUUCAUGCACAGCAAGUACUGAUCCAAGAAGAUAUGGGCAAGCCAGGUCCAGCAUUAUAAUUCCAAGUGAGUAAAUUCUAGUCUUAAUUAAGGUCCUGAAUUAGUGGCUGGCAUACGUGCAUCGGGAUGCACGUGAGGCGCAUGGGAUGCACAUGCGACGCACGAAAUGCACGUGUGACGGACGCAAAAGCUAGUUUUAUUCAAUAUACUUUAGACCUCGUAUUAAAAUUUGACUUUAGGCCACAAAUUCCAUUGAGCCGCCCCUGCUCUAAUGCUUCGAGGC
Lycium barbarum (goji berry) is the source of this 531-nucleotide long non-coding RNA. RefSeq lists it as uncharacterized. Lineage: Eukaryota; Viridiplantae; Streptophyta; Magnoliopsida; Solanales; Solanaceae. The transcript is spliced from 3 exons. The record is from RefSeq and is a predicted model, not a curated record.